UACGGAGGGGACUAGCGUUGUUCGGAAUUACUGGGCGUAAAGCGCACGUAGGCGGAUUUGUAAGUCAGGGGUGAAAUCCCCGGGCUCAACCUGGGAAUGGCGGUGGAUACUGGAUAGCUAGAGUGUGUCAGAGGAUGGUGGAAUUCCCGGUGUAGCGGUGAAAUGCGUAGAGAUCCGGAAGAACACCGGUGGCGAAGGCGGCCUGCUGGGCAGUAGCUGACGCUGAGGCGCGACAGCGUGGGGAGCAAACGAGG
RNAcentral lists this ribosomal RNA (254 nucleotides) under uncultured bacterium. RNAcentral describes it as "partial 16S ribosomal RNA". It matches the Rfam family "Bacterial small subunit ribosomal RNA", at positions 524 to 777 of the family's 1533-position model. The record is from RNAcentral.